GGGUUGUGAGGUUAAGCGACUAAGCGUACACGGUGGAUGCCCUGGCAGUCAGAGGCGAUGAAGGACGUGCUAAUCUGCGAAAAGCGUCGGUAAGGUGAUAUGAACCGUUAUAGCCGGCGAUGUCCGAAUGGGGAAACCCAGUGCAAUUCGUUGCACUAUCGUUAACUGAAUACAUAGGUUAACGAGGCGAACCGGGGGAACUGAAACAUCUAAGUACCCCGAGGAAAAGAAAUCAACCGAGAUUCCCCCAGUAGCGGCGAGCGAACGGGGAGCAGCCCGGAGUCUGAAUCAGCUUGUGUGUUAGUGGAAGCGUCUGGAAAGUCGCAGGGUACAGGGUGAUACUCCCGUACACUAAAACGCACAGGUUGUGAACUCGAAGAGUAGGGCGGGACACGUGGUAUCCUGUCUGAAUAUGGGGGGACCAUCCUCCAAGGCUAAAUACUCCUGACUGACCGAUAGUGAACCAGUACCGUGAGGGAAAGGCGAAAAGAACCCCGGCGAGGGGAGUGAAAAAGAACCUGAAACCGUGUACGUACAAGCAGUAGGAGCCUCUUUAUGGGGUGACUGCGUACCUUUUGUAUAAUGGGUCAGCGACUUAUAUUCUGUAGCAAGGUUAACCGUAUAGGGGAGCCGCAGGGAAACCGAGUCUUAACUGGGCGUUAAGUUGCAGGGUAUAGACCCGAAACCCGGUGAUCUAGCCAUGGGCAGGUUGAAGGUUGGGUAACACUAACUGGAGGACCGAACCGACUAAUGUUGAAAAAUUAGCGGAUGACUUGUGGCUGGGGGUGAAAGGCCAAUCAAACCGGGAGAUAGCUGGUUCUCCCCGAAAGCUAUUUAGGUAGCGCCUCGUGAACUCAUCUUCGGGGGUAGAGCACUGUUUCGGCUAGGGGGUCAUCCCGACUUACCAACCCGAUGCAAACUACGAAUACCGAAGAAUGUUAUCACGGGAGACACACGGCGGGUGCUAACGUCCGUCGUGAAGAGGGAAACAACCCAGACCGCCAGCUAAGGUCCCAAAGUCAUGGUUAAGUGGGAAACGAUGUGGGAAGGCCCAGACAGCCAGGAUGUUGGCUUAGAAGCAGCCAUCAUUUAAAGAAAGCGUAAUAGCUCACUGGUCGAGUCGGCCUGCGCGGAAGAUGUAACGGGGCUAAACCAUGCACCGAAGCUGCGGCAGCGACACUAUGUGUUGUUGGGUAGGGGAGCGUUCUGUAAGCCGUUGAAGGUGGCCUGUGAGGGUUGCUGGAGGUAUCAGAAGUGCGAAUGCUGACAUAAGUAACGAUAAUGCGGGUGAAAAACCCGCACGCCGGAAGACCAAGGGUUCCUGUCCAACGUUAAUCGGGGCAGGGUGAGUCGACCCCUAAGGCGAGGCCGAAAGGCGUAGUCGAUGGGAAACAGGUUAAUAUUCCUGUACUCGGUGUUACUGCGAAGGGGGGACGGAGAAGGCUAUGUUGGCCGGGCGACGGUUGUCCCGGUUUAAGCAUGUAGGCGGAUGUUCCAGGUAAAUCCGGAACGUUAUUAACGCUGAGGUGUGAUGACGAGGCACUACGGUGCUGAAGUGACAAAUGCCCUGCUUCCAGGAAAAGCCUCUAAGCAUCAGGUAACAUCAAAUCGUACCCCAAACCGACACAGGUGGUCAGGUAGAGAAUACCAAGGCGCUUGAGAGAACUCGGGUGAAGGAACUAGGCAAAAUGGUGCCGUAACUUCGGGAGAAGGCACGCUGAUAUGUAGGUGAAGUGGUUUACCCAUGGAGCUGAAAUCAGUCGAAGAUACCAGCUGGCUGCAACUGUUUAUUAAAAACACAGCACUGUGCAAACACGAAAGUGGACGUAUACGGUGUGACGCCUGCCCGGUGCCGGAAGGUUAAUUGAUGGGGUUAUCCGUAAGGAGAAGCUCUUGAUCGAAGCCCCGGUAAACGGCGGCCGUAACUAUAACGGUCCUAAGGUAGCGAAAUUCCUUGUCGGGUAAGUUCCGACCUGCACGAAUGGCGUAAUGAUGGCCAGGCUGUCUCCACCCGAGACUCAGUGAAAUUGAACUCGCUGUGAAGAUGCAGUGUACCCGCGGCAAGACGGAAAGACCCCGUGAACCUUUACUAUAGCUUGACACUGAACACUGGUCCUUGAUGUGUAGGAUAGGUGGGAGGCUUUGAAG
RNAcentral lists this ribosomal RNA (2148 nucleotides) under Klebsiella grimontii. RNAcentral describes it as "partial 23S ribosomal RNA". It matches the Rfam family "Bacterial large subunit ribosomal RNA", at positions 1 to 2162 of the family's 2925-position model. Lineage: Bacteria; Pseudomonadati; Pseudomonadota; Gammaproteobacteria; Enterobacterales; Enterobacteriaceae. The record is from RNAcentral.